GUUGCAGACCCGGCUGCCAGAAUUGCUGGAAAGUCGAUAUCUGUUUUCUUUUUGCAACGUUCCAUAGCUUUUCCGCAGGAAAAUUGUACGCGCGUCCCGUGAGAAGUCACUCGGAGGCGCACAGAGACUUCUCGUGAGACACGUGCACGCUACUUGACGAGGGUUCCCAGGAAGUUAGACGAUGUGAGCUUGAUUAUAAAUAGGCAUAUUUUCACAUCACCAAUUGGUGUAUAAUAUAAGUUCUAUGUAUUAGUAUCGUAUAUGUUCUAUAUGACGUCACAUUUGAAGCUUUCAUCUGGUAACCCUGUUGGCUACUGAUUGUACGAACUUUUCAAGAAUCCAACAUUCUAUGGAACAAUCAUUGUGAUAAGCUUUCUGCAAGAUAUCUACAAUAAAAAUUGUGAGAUGUAUCUAUAAUAAAUUAAUUUUUACAAAUUGUUGUUAAUA
Long non-coding RNA from Megachile rotundata (alfalfa leafcutting bee), 447 nucleotides. RefSeq lists it as uncharacterized. NCBI's taxonomy places the organism in Eukaryota, Metazoa, Arthropoda, Insecta, Hymenoptera, Megachilidae. The record is from RefSeq and is a predicted model, not a curated record.